GGUGUGGCUUGGUGGUAGAGUGCAUGCCUAGCGCGCAUGAGGCCCUGGGUUCGAGCCCCAGUACC
Molecule: transfer RNA, 65 nt
Filed under: Camelus bactrianus (Bactrian camel)
Lineage: Eukaryota; Metazoa; Chordata; Mammalia; Artiodactyla; Camelidae
Also listed under: 2 other names
Rfam family: tRNA
About the family: Transfer RNA (tRNA) molecules are approximately 80 nucleotides in length. Their secondary structure includes four short double-helical elements and three loops (D, anti-codon, and T loops).
Source: Rfam by way of RNAcentral